This 253-nucleotide ribosomal RNA is filed under the name uncultured bacterium. Its description in RNAcentral is "partial 16S ribosomal RNA". It matches the Rfam family "Bacterial small subunit ribosomal RNA", at positions 524 to 776 of the family's 1533-position model. The record is from RNAcentral.
UACGUAGGGACCAAGCGUUGUUCGGAUUUACUGGGCGUAAAGGGCGCGUAGGCGGCAAUUCAAGUCAUCUGUGAAAUCUCCGGGCUUAACCCGGAACGGUCAGAUGAUACUGCUUUGCUAGAGUGCGGAAGGGGCAAUCGGAAUUCUCGGUGUAGCGGUGAAAUGCGUAGAUAUCGAGAGGAACACCUGAGGUGAAGACGGGUUGCUGGGCUGACACUGACGCUGAUGCGCGAAAGCCAGGGUAGCAAACGGG